RNAcentral lists this ribosomal RNA (445 nucleotides) under uncultured bacterium. RNAcentral describes it as "partial 16S ribosomal RNA". It matches the Rfam family "Bacterial small subunit ribosomal RNA", at positions 354 to 796 of the family's 1533-position model. The record is from RNAcentral.
GUGAGGAAUAUUGCGCAAUGGAGGCAACUCUGACGCAGCCAUGCCGCGUGCAGGAAGAAGGCGCUACGCGUUGUAAACUGCUUUUAACCGGGAAGAAACCCCAGGACGUGUCCUGGGUUGACGGUACCGGAGGAAUAAGCACCGGCUAACUUCGUGCCAGCAGCCGCGGGAAUAAGAAGGGUGCAAGCGUUAUCCGGAUUCAUUGGGUUUAAAGGGUGCGUAGGCGGAGCGUUAAGUCAGUGGUGAAAUCCUGCAGCUUAACUGUAGACUUGCCAUUGAUACUGGCGCUCUUGAGUGCGCUUGAAGUAGGCGGAAUGUGCCGUGUAGCGGUGAAAUGCUUAGAUAUGGCACAGAACACCAAUUGCGAAGGCAGCUCACUAAGGCGAUACUGACGCUGAGGCACGAAAGCGUGGGGAUCGAACAGGAUUAGAAACCCCGGUAGUCC